UACGUAGGGGGCAAGCGUUAUCCGGAUUUACUGGGUGUAAAGGGAGCGUAGACGGUCAUAUAAGUCUGGAGUGAAAUCCCGGGGCUCAACCCCGGGACUGCUUUGGAAACUAUGAGACUGGAGUGCAGGAGAGGUAAGUGGAAUUCCUAGUGUAGCGGUGAAAUGCGUAGAUAUUAGGAGGAACACCAGUGGCGAAGGCGGCUUACUGGACUGUAACUGACGUUGAGGCUCGAAAGCGUGGGGAGCAAACAGG
This 253-nucleotide ribosomal RNA is filed under the name uncultured bacterium. Its description in RNAcentral is "partial 16S ribosomal RNA". It matches the Rfam family "Bacterial small subunit ribosomal RNA", at positions 524 to 776 of the family's 1533-position model. The record is from RNAcentral.